UCCCUGCUCCUUGCACACACCGCCCGUCACACCACCCGAGUGAGGUCUUGAUGAGGCCGUCGUCUUUGCGGCGGUCGAAUCUAGGUUUUGCAAGGGGGGUU
This 101-nucleotide ribosomal RNA is filed under the name uncultured bacterium. RNAcentral describes it as "partial 16S ribosomal RNA". It matches the Rfam family "Archaeal small subunit ribosomal RNA", at positions 1327 to 1429 of the family's 1478-position model. The record is from RNAcentral.